This 500-nucleotide ribosomal RNA is filed under the name uncultured bacterium. RNAcentral describes it as "partial 16S ribosomal RNA". It matches the Rfam family "Bacterial small subunit ribosomal RNA", at positions 30 to 523 of the family's 1533-position model. The record is from RNAcentral.
AUUGAACGCUGGCGGCAGGCCUAACACAUGCAAGUCGAGCGGAUGACGGGAGCUUGCUCCUUGAUUCAGCGGCGGACGGGUGAGUAAUGCCUAGGAAUCUGCCUGGUAGUGGGGGACAACGUUUCGAAAGGAACGCUAAUACCGCAUACGUCCUACGGGAGAAAGCAGGGGACCUUCGGGCCUUGCGCUAUCAGAUGAGCCUAGGUCGGAUUAGCUAGUUGGUGGGGUAAUGGCUCACCAAGGCGACGAUCCGUAACUGGUCUGAGAGGAUGAUCAGUCACACUAGAACUGAGACACGGUCCAGACUCCUACGGGAGGCAGCAGUGGGGAGUAUUGGACAAUGGGCGAAAGCCUGAUCCAGCCAUGCCGCGUGUGUGAAGAAGGUCUUCGGAUUGUAAAGCACUUUAAGUUGGGAGGAAGGGCAGUAAGUUAAUACCUUGCUGUUUUGACGUUACCAACAGAAUAAGCACCGGCUAACUCUGUGCCAGCCGCCGCGGUAA